AGGGAAUCUUCCGCAAUGGACGAAAGUCUGACGGAGCAACGCCGCGUGAGUGAUGAAGGUUUUCGGAUCGUAAAACUCUGUUGUUAGGGAAGAACAAGUACCGGAGUAACUGCCGGUACCUUGACGGUACCUAACCAGAAAGCCACGGCUAACUACGUGCCAGCAGCCGCGGUAAUACGUAGGUGGCAAGCGUUGUCCGGAAUUAUUGGGCGUAAAGCGCGCGCAGGCGGUUCCUUAAGUCUGAUGUGAAAGCCCCCGGCUCAACCGGGGAGGGUCAUUGGAAACUGGGGAACUUGAGUGCAGAAGAGAAGAGUGGAAUUCCACGUGUAGCGGUGAAAUGCGUAGAGAUGUGGAGGAACACCAGUGGCGAAGGCGACUCUUUGGUCUGUAACUGACGCUGAGGCGCGAAAGCGUGGGGAGCAAAC
Molecule: ribosomal RNA, 425 nt
Filed under: uncultured bacterium
Lineage: Bacteria
Description: bacterial SSU rRNA
Rfam family: Bacterial small subunit ribosomal RNA
Source: RNAcentral